CAAAAACAUAACAAAAUAUACACGUAAAAUAUCACGUAUGAUCAAAUUACAACCUCCAAAGCGUUGUCAAAUUAAGCUUUACACAUGCAAUCAGGAGCAGGGUAAGUAUAUAUCGACUGCUUCUCCUUGCGUAUCCGCAUUUGUCCUUGUCUAUUCUUGUGACCCUGCUGUACUGCCUGCUGAAAUUCAGACCACUCAAUAGUCUUGUUGAGGAAGAGCUUGCCUAACAAUGUCAUGUUUGGUCUAACGGUCUUAAGAUUCUUGUAUGCUCGAUGCCCCAACAGUGCAUUGUGCAUAUUGCCGGGAGAGGCAGAAAUGAAUAUAUCACUCUGCAUGCUCACGUAAUAAUCCACAGCUGCUAGUAAAGAAGCUUUUCCUUCUACUUCAGAUAGUUCAUGAGAAGAAGCAAGGCUUUUCUUGUCCUCCAUAAAUGGAAAUAACUGGCGGAGUGCUGAUAUCCUUGCUUCUCCACCGUAAACCUUGUGGGAAGCAAGAUAUAGGCGUGUGCUGUUGUUAAAUCCCAAGGCUGACAAAAGAAGUCCUAUCUCUUCCGGAGUUAAUGGACAACGCCCUUGGCCUCUUAACUCUUCAUCUGUGAAUUGGGAGUUUAGCACUCUCCCUUGCCAAAGUACUUGCCGAUAUUUUGCAAGAGCAAGUUUCUCAGCUUUGCCGCCACCAAAAUCACAAGCUGAGUGAGCAGCCAUAUCUUUAUCAAAGCGAAGAUGCAAUACAACAUACUUCCCAGCUCCUGCUCUGUCAUUUUCCCAAUUGUGGAAGUCUGUAGCGCUUGAUGCGUUAUUUAAACCAGGAGGGCUACGCAGACGACUGACGAGUGCAUCGCCUAAUCUUCUGACAUGGGGAACAAAAACUAGAGCGUGAAAGUUGACCUUACAGCGCAGAUGCUGGAUGUCUGAAGG
RNAcentral lists this unclassified non-coding RNA (917 nucleotides) under Hevea brasiliensis (rubber tree). The record is from RNAcentral. Lineage: Eukaryota; Viridiplantae; Streptophyta; Magnoliopsida; Malpighiales; Euphorbiaceae.